GAACGCUAGCGACAGGCUAACACAUGCAGGUCGAGGGGCAGCAUAAAGUAGCAAUACGUUGGUGGCGACCGGCGCACGGGUGAGUAACGCGUAUGCAACCUACCUAUCAGAGGGGAAUAACCCGGCGAAAGUCGGACUAAUACCGCAUAAAACAGGGGCACCGCAUGGUGAUAUUUGUUAAAGAAAUUCGCUGAUAGAUGGGCAUGCGUUCCAUUAGGUAGUUGGUGAGGUAACGGCUCACCAAGCCGACGAUGGAUAGGGGAACUGAGAGGUUGGUCCCCCACACUGGUACUGAGACACGGACCAGACUCCUACGGGAGGCAGCAGUGAGGAAUAUUGGUCAAUGGGCGAGAGCCUGAACCAGCCAAGUCGCGUGAAGGAAGAAGGAUCUAUGGUUCGUAAACUUCUUUUGCAGGGGAAUAAAGUGCAGGACGUGUCCUGUUUUGUAUGUACCCUGAGAAUAAGGAUCGGCUAACUCCGUGCCAGCCGCCGC
Molecule: ribosomal RNA, 493 nt
Filed under: uncultured bacterium
Lineage: Bacteria
Description: bacterial SSU rRNA
Rfam family: Bacterial small subunit ribosomal RNA
Source: RNAcentral